CAUGAAGGGAUUGCUUGCGGCUAUUAUGUGAUGAGGUUUAUGUACGAUAUAAUUUCUUCUUGCACGGAAUUUGAUGAUCUAGAGAAGAUUUACAACACGCCAAAGGAGGAGUCGUUCACUAUUGAGGAAAUCAAUGAAGUUCGAGACAAGUUUGCUUCCUUCCUUACUGAUAGUUGUCUUUGAUUUUGAUAUUUAGUUACUUAUGAUGUAAACACAUACUUUGAAUUUAGAGUAGUAUUUUGUAAUUCAAUUCUACACUUCAUAUAAUAUAAUUUUAAUUUGAAAGUUAA
Long non-coding RNA from Beta vulgaris subsp. vulgaris (sugar beet), 290 nucleotides. RefSeq lists it as uncharacterized. The transcript is spliced from 2 exons. The record is from RefSeq and is a predicted model, not a curated record. Lineage: Eukaryota; Viridiplantae; Streptophyta; Magnoliopsida; Caryophyllales; Amaranthaceae.